CGUGCUUCGACGAGCAGGGACAGGAGACGCUGCUGUCGGGAUGUGCGCAAGGACUUCUGCAUUCGGAACGGCGCUCCAUUGAUGAAGGGAGGCCAUUUCGGUAAUCCUGAUAUGGGAUUAUCCCAGUUCAGGAUUUUUGGUGCUGUUGGCCCUGAAGGGAGGGCGUUCGAUGCGCGUCAGACCCAAGCUUGAUCCCGAUGUCGAUGACGAGGCCCCGAGCGGCCCCGAGAUCACGACUUAUGACGAAGAGCAUUAUG
This 257-nucleotide unclassified non-coding RNA is filed under the name Hevea brasiliensis (rubber tree). Lineage: Eukaryota; Viridiplantae; Streptophyta; Magnoliopsida; Malpighiales; Euphorbiaceae. The record is from RNAcentral.